This 1018-nucleotide long non-coding RNA is filed under the name Monodelphis domestica (gray short-tailed opossum). Its description in RNAcentral is "lncRNA (ENSMODG00000043500.1)". Lineage: Eukaryota; Metazoa; Chordata; Mammalia; Didelphimorphia; Didelphidae. The record is from RNAcentral.
GGACGUGGGGUGGGAAGGGGGCAGGGCCGUCCUUUGGGUAAAGCGAAGAGGUCAGGGUCAGGGCCAGGUCAAGGCAGCUGUCUGCAGCAGCGCGAAGCUGGGGACAUCCGUGCCGGGCGCCUUUCCCGCAGGAUCCGAGCCUGCUGCUGCCUCCCGCCUUUCCCAGGCUGCUGCUGUGGCUGCUGUCGCUGCUGGGACUUCAGCAUGUUUCUGAGCGCUCAGGUCUGGCAGCUCCUGCACCCAGCACCCCACCCUAACCCACAGUUAGCUCCCCCUAACCCAGCCCCCGAGACCUUGCGUCAGUAGCCUACAGCCAAUCAGGAGUCAAGGCACGCCCCUAUUUUGUCCCCCACCUUCCUUCUCCACUUUACUGCCCUCUCACGCGCAAUUAAGUGGCUCCAGGGAACUGAGGGUGGGCAAGAGCGCAGAACUCAGCUCGGGCGUUUGGGCACUGGGAACUGUGGCUCCGGAUCUUUCCCGAAGGAAACCUGCACUCCAACCCCAACAACAAAGGGUUUGCUCGGUUUGGAGUGGAGGGGGCUGAGACAUUUAAAAGAGAAGGGCAGUUUGCAAAGUCUGGGGUUGGAGGAGUUUGGCCGAUUGUCUGAUUCUCGGAUUCGAAAACCUGGCGAUUUAUGUGUAAAAAGCGUCCCCUGGUCAGCCUAGGACAUGGCCAGCCUCAAACCUGCCAGUUCAGGGGAUCAGAGGAGGGGGUUAUUUGUUAGAGAGAAACUUUCCAGCAGUGCUGCGUAUUACAUACGGGGAAACAAGCAUGCAUCUCUCAGGAACAUUUUCUGGGUGCUAUUCUUCUAAGAAGCUCCUGUUAUUCCAGUGCAGUACUUACAUAAAAGAAGCGAAGGUUGUGCAUCUAACGAUGGAGACUAGUUGGAAAAACAUCCCCCCUCCCCAAAUCCCAGGUCUGACAUUUCCAAAAUGUGCUAGGCAAACAAGUGGCACUGCAUAAAUACACAUUAGAUUCAAGAAUCAUCUAGUCAUGGCACUGAAUGGCAUGCUGGGG